UUAGUAACACGUGGGUAAUUAACCCCAUUCACGGGCAUAACUAGUCGAAAGGCUAGGUAAUUCCCGAUGGUCCUAUGUUUUCUAUGAAUUUAUAGGUAAAGGUUUACGUAAGUAUUCCGGAAUGGGAUAAGCCCGCGGCUUAUCAGCUAGUUGGUAGGGUAAUGGCCUACCAAGGCUAUGACGAGUAGGCGGGGUGAGAGCCUGAUCGCCAACAAGGGCACUGAGACACGGGCCCUACUCCUACGGGAGGCUGCAGUCGAGAAUAUUGGACAAUGGGGGAAACCCUGAUCCUGCGACGUCGCGUGCUUGAAGAAGCUCUUCGGGGUGUAAAGAGCUUUUCUGGAGGAAGAAUAUUUAUAUGACGGUACUCCAGGAAUAAGGGGAUGCUAAUUCUGUGCCAGCAGCAGCGGUAACACAGAAUCCCCAAGCGUUAUCCGGAUUUAUUGGGCGUAAAGGGUCCGUAGGCGGUUUAGAAAGUCUUUGGUCAAAUCUUCAGGGCUUAACCUUGAAGCUUCUAAAGAUACUCCUAAACUAGAGAACGUUAGAGGUUGAUGGAACGGUCGGUGUAGGGGUAAAAUCCGUUGAUAUUGACCGGAACACCAAAAGCGAAGGCAAUCAACUGGGACGAUUCUGACGCUGAGGGACGAAAGCGUGGGCAGAGAACGAGAUUAGAUACCUC
This 679-nucleotide ribosomal RNA is filed under the name uncultured bacterium. RNAcentral describes it as "bacterial SSU rRNA". It matches the Rfam family "Bacterial small subunit ribosomal RNA", at positions 107 to 788 of the family's 1533-position model. The record is from RNAcentral.